UUCGGGACAAUUGUUGACACGUUUAAAGUUCCGGUAAACCGCAGAACCGCCUUCUUUAUCAUUUAUCAUUAAAAAUACGCACAGUUGGUUCGUAUUGUACGUUGAUUAUUGACGCGCAGGGUGCAAGUGAAUUCAACAUGUGGUGCCUCAAGGGACGCGAAGGCAUUUGCGUGUAUGUUACGCCAAAUCAGAAACAAACCUUUGGUAAAUCGCUGAGUGAUAUAAAACUAGAAGGAGACCCUACGAUCAGCAGAUUACACGCAGUCAUUUCCGUGGAAUCGAUCGAGGAAUCGGAUACCACACCAUAUAAAUGUGUCAUUAGUGAUUUGUCCAAGUAUGGAACGUUUGUCAUAAGAGACGGGCAAAAGAAAAAAUUGCUGAUAAAUGAAAAAUGUACCUUGAAAGCUGGCGACACAGUGCAAUUUGGCCUAAAGCAGACUACUUUUGUUGUGUCGUGUUAUUCAUUUGUGAUUGCAAAAUCCAGCCUGGAUAAAAAAGCUGCAGAGAGCUUAACAAGCGUGGUGCAUCUUCUGGGAGGAAGGUUGGCUGAAACUUGGGAAGAUUCUUGCACACACUUGACAGUGUCCGAAAACAUCCUGUUUACUACAAAAUUGGCUUGCGCAUUGGCCUCUGCCAAACCGAUUGUGACAAUUGCAUAUUGGGAAGCAAUACGUCUAGCUGUCCAAGAAUCAAAGGAAUUGCCAGGUAUCGAAAACUUUCUGCCAAUGAUAAAGGAGGAGUGGUUGAAAGCGUCUUCGAGAUUGCUUGUACCAAACGAGAAACGCAGAGCGCUGUUCAAGGGCCUGGCAUUCGUGCAUUUCUGUGCAAAGCAAUACUUCACGUGCUCGCCAUUGAUCAGUGCAGCAGGUGGCAAAUCGUGCGUGUAUCCCACAAAGAAACCCCUCACUCCUCGAGAUCUCACUGCGAAGAAUGCGGUCGUCGUACAGCAGCCUGCGAGCGACUCGUCGCAAUUCACGUGUCAAAUAAUCGAGGCUGAUUAUCCAAUCAUCUAUCGCAAGCUACAAGCCAUCAAACGCAGAAUGAUCUCCGAUACCGAAAUUCCCCUCGCGAUUUUAUACUGCAGCACAGAAAUUUAUUGUAAUCCUAAAUUCGAAUUCGCCACGUUUCUCGAGUUAAACACUCAAACGUUUCCUUCUUCCGACAUUGUGAUAAUCGAAGACACACAGGACAUCGUUAACAGAAUUAAUAAGGCUGACGGACGCAGCAAGGAGAACGUCGUAUCCGAGAUUUGCGUUUCGCAAAGUAACGAGAAUGCUGUCUCGAGUACGAGUGUCUGUCCACUUGGCGAGAACGCGCGGCGAGGUACCUGUGACUCCAACAGAAGCGAUAUCGCGACGAGAACCACGCGGAAUGCUGACCAAAGGACAGUUACGCGCAAGGUAAUUCCCGAGAUUUGCGAGUCCCAAGGUAACGACCAAGGUACCUCGAAGAACGUCGGUCCUCAUAUCGGAGACGAACAGAGAAAUAUCAUGCCCAACAUAUUUUCUAAAAAAAAAGUUCAAAAACAACUCGAAAUUAUUCCCGAGAGCUGUUGUUCCGCAGGGAGAGAAGCGAGCGGUACCGUUUCCGGUAAGAGCGAUCGUGAACAAGCUCGAAUCGUUUCUGAAAUUUUCGAGCCUGACGAGGUAAACGUCGUCGAGGAUUUGGCCGCGCGAAAAAUAUGCAGAAACGCGAAAUCGUCAGAAAAGAGAGGUAUUCUUACGGUGGAGAAGGGGAAUGAUGGUACUUUGGAGAAAGAUGCUGUAGCUCCGGUUGCGAUAACGACCAAUCAACAACGAGAAAACUACGUGAUAUCUAAAAAGACUAAUAAUUCACAUUGUGUCAAAAAUAAUUUGUCACUUGGGAAAAACGGAUCUUCCAACGCUGAUUACGAUAAAUCUGAUCGCGCGAACUGGCAAAUUUCGAAAAAGUUGAAAACUUCAAGGGGGCCACGAAUCGUAUCGAUAGAGAAGAUUAAUCACAGCAAGAUUAACACUGACUGGAAAAGAAAAAAAGCGUUGACGGAAGGUCGUACCAAAAUUCAAGAGUCAUCGAAUUCGUUAAAGGAACGCAAAUUGGAUCCAGUCUGCUCUGUCGGAAGACCCCAAGAAGAUGAGAGAACGAAGAAAAAUAGGAUACGAGAGGGAGAUAAAAACAGAGAAGAACCUCGAAAAACGGUACUUGGUAGCCAAUUGGUAUGAAAAGUACUUGAAGCAAGAGCUCACGAAUGAGAUACUUCGGAGAGAUGCACCACGUGGUAAAACAUUUACAAAGAUGCCAGUUGUGAUUCCGGAGAGGAUGCCGAGGAUGGACAACCAUGUCUCUCGACAGCCACGUGAUUUUGUUAAAAAAAUGAUUAUUAAAACUGAUUAAGGCUGUCUAAAACUAUUGUAGUGUGGACACUCUUAUUAUUAACAGAUUUAUCAUUGGUACAGAUGGUUUCUCUUUAAAGUUUGGAUUACUAAAUUUUUGUAAUUUUGAAACAUUGAGGAAAUUUAAUGAAAUCAUAAUUAGUAUUGUUAAUACAGGAAGGAGUUCCAUAUUUAAUUUACUUUAUGACAUAAUUUACAUACGAGCUGCCCUCACAAUUACAUAAAAUUGACAUGUAUUUAUAUCAUUUGGAAGCUGUAUAUUUUCUUAACGGUAUUUUUCCUUGUAAAAGAAAGAAGAAAAAGUACUAAGGUA
RNA transcript from Ooceraea biroi (clonal raider ant), 2685 nucleotides. It is a transcript of the gene named nibrin, with no coding region annotated. Lineage: Eukaryota; Metazoa; Arthropoda; Insecta; Hymenoptera; Formicidae. The record is from RefSeq and is a predicted model, not a curated record.